RNAcentral lists this transfer RNA (78 nucleotides) under Mesoterricola silvestris. Its description in RNAcentral is "tRNA-Glu". Lineage: Bacteria; Pseudomonadati; Acidobacteriota; Holophagae; Holophagales; Holophagaceae. The record is from RNAcentral.
AGAGCGGAGGUUUGAGCGCACCGAAAGCAGCCCCCUUUCACGGCGAUAACACGGGUUCGAAUCCCGUUGGCCCUACCA